Molecule: ribosomal RNA, 490 nt
Filed under: uncultured bacterium
Lineage: Bacteria
Description: partial 16S ribosomal RNA
Rfam family: Bacterial small subunit ribosomal RNA
Source: RNAcentral
AUUGAACGCUGGCGGCAGGCCUAACACAUGCAAGUCGAACGGUAACAGGAAACAGCUUGCUGUUUCGCUGACGAGUGGCGGACGGGUGAGUAAUGUCUGGGAAACUUCCUGAUGGAGGGGGAUAACUACUGGAAACGGUAGCUAAUACCGCAUAACGUCGCAAGACCAAAGAGGGGGACCUUCGGGCCUCUUGCCAUCGGAUGUGCCCAGAUGGGAUUAGCUAGUAGGUGGGGUAACGGCUCACCUAGGCGACGAUCCCUAGCUGGUCUGAGAGGAUGACCAGCCACACUGGAACUGAGACACGGUCCAGACUCCUACGGGAGGCAGCAGUGGGGAAUAUUGCACAAUGGGCGCAAGCCUGAUGCAGCCAUGCCGCGUGUAUGAAGAAGGCCUUCGGGUUGUAAAGUACUUUCAGCGGGGAGGAAGGGAGUAAAGUUAAUACCUUUACUCAUUGACGUUACCCGCAGAAGAAGCACCGGCUAACUCCGUG